UCCAUUUGGAAACCCCUUGAGCUAUAAAA
This 29-nucleotide non-coding RNA is filed under the name Rattus norvegicus (Norway rat). Lineage: Eukaryota; Metazoa; Chordata; Mammalia; Rodentia; Muridae. The record is from RNAcentral.